GGGGAAUAUUGCGCAAUGGGCGAAAGCCUGACGCAGCAACGCCGCGUGGGGGAUGAAGGCCUUCGGGUUGUAAACCUCUUUCAGCAGGGAAGAAGCGAAAGUGACGGUACCUGCAGAAGAAGCACCGGCUAACUACGUGCCAGCAGCCGCGGUAAUACGUAGGGUGCAAGCGUUGUCCGGAUUUAUUGGGCGUAAAGAGCUCGUAGGCGGUUAGUCACGUCGGAUGUGAAAACCCGGAGCUUAACUCCGGGCCUGCAUUCGAUACGGGCUGACUAGAGUGUUGUAGGGGAGACUGGAACUCCUGGUGUAGCGGUGAAAUGCGCAGAUAUCAGGAAGAACACCGGUGGCGAAGGCGGGUCUCUGGGCAACUACUGACGCUGAGGAGCGAAAGCGUGGGGAGCAAAC
Molecule: ribosomal RNA, 405 nt
Filed under: uncultured bacterium
Lineage: Bacteria
Description: bacterial SSU rRNA
Rfam family: Bacterial small subunit ribosomal RNA
Source: RNAcentral